UGCAAUUCGAACGAAGACUUCGGUUCUAGUMGCGCACGGGUGCGUAACGCGUGGGAAUCUGCCCUUAGGUUCGGAAUAACUUCCCGAAAAGGAUGCUAAUACCGGAUAAUGUCUUCGGACCAAAGAUUUAUCGCCUUUGGAUGGGCCCGCGUAGGAUUAGCUUGUUGGUGAGGUAAUGGCCUACCAAGGCGACGAAUCCUUAUCUGGUCUGAGAGGAUGAUCAGCCACACUGGGACUGAGACACGGCCCAGAUCUCUACGGGAGGCAGCAGUGGGGAAUAUUGGACAAUGGGCGAAAGCCUGAUCCAGCAAUGCCGCGUGAGUGAUGAAGGCCUUAGGGUUGUAAAGCUCUUUUACCAGGGAUGAUAAUGACAGUACCUGGAGAAUAAGCUCCGGCUAACUCCGUGCCAGCAGCCGCGGUAAUACGGAGGGAGCUAGCGUUGUUCGGAAUUACUGGGCGUAAAGCGCACGUAGGCGGCGAUUCAAGUCAGAGGUGAAAGCCCGGGGCUCAACCCCGGAACUGCCUUUGAAACUAGAUUGCUAGAAUCCUGGAGAGGUGAGUGGAAUUCCGAGUGUAGAGGUGAAAUUCGUAGAUAUUCGGAAGAACACCAGUGGCGAAGGCGACUCACUGGACAG
RNAcentral lists this ribosomal RNA (635 nucleotides) under uncultured Alphaproteobacteria bacterium. Its description in RNAcentral is "bacterial SSU rRNA". It matches the Rfam family "Bacterial small subunit ribosomal RNA", at positions 56 to 736 of the family's 1533-position model. Lineage: Bacteria; Pseudomonadati; Pseudomonadota; Alphaproteobacteria. The record is from RNAcentral.